RNAcentral lists this ribosomal RNA (383 nucleotides) under uncultured bacterium. Its description in RNAcentral is "bacterial SSU rRNA". It matches the Rfam family "Bacterial small subunit ribosomal RNA", at positions 29 to 416 of the family's 1533-position model. The record is from RNAcentral.
AUUGAACGCUGGCGGCAUGCCUUACACAUGCAAGUCGAACGGUAACGCGGGCAACCUGGCGACGAGUGGCGAACGGGUGAGUAAUAUAUCGGAACGUGCCCAGUAGUGGGGGAUAGCCCGGCGAAAGCCGGAUUAAUACCGCAUACGACCUACGGGUGAAAGGCGGGGGAUCGCAAGACCUCGCGCUAUUGGAGCGGCCGAUAUCAGAUUAGGUAGUUGGUGGGGUAAAGGCCUACAAGCCUACGAUCUGUAGCUGGUCUGAGAGGACGACCAGCCACACUGGGACUGAGACACGGCCCAGACUCCUACGGGAGGCAGCAGUGGGGAAUUUUGGACAAUGGGCGCAAGCCUGAUCCAGCCAUGCCGCGUGCGGGAAGAAGGCC